This 1091-nucleotide long non-coding RNA is filed under the name Rattus norvegicus (Norway rat). RNAcentral describes it as "long non-coding RNA NONRATT031219". The record is from RNAcentral. Lineage: Eukaryota; Metazoa; Chordata; Mammalia; Rodentia; Muridae.
GCUUGGCGUAGCUAGUACACUCGUCACACAUCUAGAGUCCUGGAUUUCAAGCAGACCUGGUGGGAGGUGGCUUGGUGGCAGCAAACAGCCUACUCCUCUGUCCUUGUUCGCAGUGUCACAGGGCAGAGCUGAGCGUCCUGUGCGUUGUUCCUCACUCCGCCCGCCCUCAGCUGCAGACUCCACAGUGGGCACAGCUGACCACGCACUGCAGGGUCUUACGUUCUGGGUACCCCAGCCUCUUCUAUCCCAGCCAGAGACACUUGACACAUUCACGAAACACUGCCUUCCCGAACAUACUGAUGGGUUCUCACCUUCAAAAACAGUAAAGCUGAUUUCUUGGCCCAUAAGGAGGUCAUUCUCCACAGACUGAAGUAGCAGCAGCUCUCAGUCAGUGCUUUCCAGUGGCGCAUGGCUCUUGGCUGGCCAAAAGCCUGGGGAGCAGUUUUGGUCCUGGCUGUGCCCUGGCUGGGAUCCGGGUUUAAUCCGCCUCUAUUACUUUCCUCACAUCAGAAGCCCGUGUAUGUCAGCUAUAGUUUCCUUGUCCAGAACCGCCUCUGUCCCAAGUUAAAUGGCAGGAUGAGUUUUGUCAAUUCAGAGUGCCACCUGCUUGGGACCGUGACCCCUCUGCGGCUCUGGCUCCAGCAGGCCUGUGUCCUUGCACACUGGCUGCUUGGCUCCCCUGGCUGUUGGGCAGCUGGGGCCGGGAUAGAGCCUCCAUGUUUAUAUGUCUCUGUUGUUUAUUCAGUGCAGCCACUGCCUAAGGGGGACCAAGUGCUAAACUUCUCAGAUGCAGAGGACCUGAUUGACGACAGUAAGCUCAAGUGAGUUCCUGGAGAGGGUUGGCUCCACUUUGUCGGGCACACCAGGCUGCCCAGCAGACAGCUUCAGUUGCAGCUGCUGGGCUUAGCCACCUGCUUCACCCUCUCCUGUGGGGGCCGCUUAAGCUCACUGCCUUCCCGUUCUCCCCACCCAGUCCCAGGGCUAGGCCAAGGCUUAGACAACUCUCUGAGCCCCUUGGCUGAGGAGCCUGGGGUGCUGUGGUGGGCCAGGUAGCAGGGGCCCGACAGUGACAAAUCCUUUUUGAUACUCAG